UCUUUCUCUCUCUAACCACACAUACUCUCUCUCUUAGCUUUGUAAACCUGCCACCGCUACCACCGUUAACACCUCCAUCAAAACCUUAGGUCUACAACCGCCACCACCUCACCGAAACCUUAGAUCCGCCUAACCACCACCCGACUAAAACCCUAAACCAGAAAUAACGAUGGUGGUUCACCACCAUCCACCCACCGGUUCAUCACCAUCUUCACCGCCUUAGUGCCGCCACAACAACCACCCACCACCAUCUUCACCACCUUAGCGCCGCCACAACAACGACGUCGGUUCACCACCAUCCACCCACUAGUUCCCCUCCAUCUGCCUGUCUGUUCUUAACUCAUGAGUAAUGCAACGGCUCCGAUGAACUCCACUUCUACCCAACUCAAGGAUCCAUCUGCUCCGGGAAGGUACUCCAAGUGACCCCAAUGGCUUGCAUCCCUUUUUUGCUUCCCAAGAUGUAUGUAUGCAUAAACGAUAAAUUGAUGGGAUUCAUCACCAUUUUCUAGGUAAUUGAGAUUGUUGCUCGUUAUGACGAUGUGUGUACGCCAUCUAGAUCAAAAGUGAUAAGGUUCAAUUUAUGCAAACAAAACUUGCAACAUAACCCUGACAAAAUUACCCUCAUGUUUAUUAUUGUUUUUAUUUUUAUAAGUGAAUAGCUGAAUUGCCAUAAAUGCCCCUCAUGUGAGGGGCACAUGAUAA
Molecule: long non-coding RNA, 702 nt
Organism: Helianthus annuus (common sunflower)
Lineage: Eukaryota; Viridiplantae; Streptophyta; Magnoliopsida; Asterales; Asteraceae
Exons: 2
Source: RefSeq, a predicted model, not a curated record